AACUAAACGAUUUCUUAGCGUUCGUGGAAAGUGGCCCAUGAUACUUGGCUUGGAGCUGUAUCUCUGGAGUUUACAUCCCUCCAUAUUUAAGUUUAAUACCUCCUCCCACCUUAACUGCCUGCCCCUCCACCACAAAAAUUCAAUCAAGAAAAAAAAAACCCCUAUGAAAUCAACUUAUAACAUAGGUUCCGUUCAACUACCUUCUUAAAUUGGAUGUCAUCGAGAUACUUCUUUCUGUUCAACCGUCUUCUUUUUAGAACUCACUAAAAAAAAUCACCUUCCAUCCAAAAUUAUGACCUUUCGCAUAUUGACCAUUGGAUAUAUAGCUAUAUUUUCUAUAAACAUCGAGAUCCUUGUUCCCUUCUCAGGGGAGAUUAGAGACUACAAAAAUAAGUAACUUUUGCUUUUUAAUUAUUUUCAAUAGUAUAGAUUGAAAUUAACAGUAUGAAUCUUAGAUUUGGAUGUCAAAUUAUAGAUUUUGAAUUUCCAAGGAGCAAAUGGUAUUUACACCUUUUGGAUCUAAAAUGAAUAAGUGAACAUUUAAAUCGAAGUUCUAUACUAUAUUCAUCACGAUCUAUGCCACGAAAAAUACCUAGAAAUUAAGAAUCAUGUAUUUUAGGGGUC
RNAcentral lists this long non-coding RNA (624 nucleotides) under Phoenix dactylifera (date palm). Its description in RNAcentral is "long non-coding RNA (PDAC_LNC001042)". Lineage: Eukaryota; Viridiplantae; Streptophyta; Magnoliopsida; Arecales; Arecaceae. The record is from RNAcentral.